RNAcentral lists this ribosomal RNA (280 nucleotides) under Discosomaticus sp. MZSP 73104. RNAcentral's name for it is "partial large subunit ribosomal RNA". Lineage: Eukaryota; Metazoa; Arthropoda; Arachnida; Opiliones; Cosmetidae. The record is from RNAcentral.
UUCUUUAAUUGGGGACUGGAAUGAAAGGUCGAUUCUAAAAGGAAAGUUUUGUUUUAUAAUUUUGAAGUUAAUUUAAUAGUAAAAAAGCUAUUAUUAACCCUUGGGACGAGAAGACCCUAGAAGCUUAAAGAGUAAAAAUUCUUUAAUUGGGGCAAUUUAUGAAGAGAAUAAUUUUUAUAAGGAAAUAGUAAAGUUAAAAGUUACUCUAGGGAUAACAGCGUAAUUUAAUUAGCGAGUUCUUAUUAAUAAUUAAGUUUGCGACCUCGAUGUUGAAUUAAUU